UCCUUGUGCAGUUCUCACAUUACAGGG
RNAcentral lists this non-coding RNA (27 nucleotides) under Homo sapiens (human). The record is from RNAcentral. Lineage: Eukaryota; Metazoa; Chordata; Mammalia; Primates; Hominidae.